Long non-coding RNA from Dermacentor andersoni, 511 nucleotides. RefSeq lists it as uncharacterized. Lineage: Eukaryota; Metazoa; Arthropoda; Arachnida; Ixodida; Ixodidae. The record is from RefSeq and is a predicted model, not a curated record.
GGCAUGAACAUUUCAUUAGAGAAAUUUAUUUUUUCUAAAUAUCGUGUACAAUUUUUAUUGAACCAUUGCUCUUCCAUAAUGAAGGUCAAAUGUUCGUUACAGAGACGUUCCGAAAAAUUGCGCUUUUAUUGUUUUAAUUUGUUUUAUUCGCCACAGCUCAUAAAACGAGGAACCCCAAGUACUUUUUGCAGGAUAUAAGCGAGGCCUGAACCUUCACAAAUUCAUCCCUUCACCUAGCGACGUUUCAGACGCUGCCAUCUACAGUCUCACUGCACAAAGCAACAUGAACCGUCAGUUUGGAGUGGACCUCAUGUCGGUCGCCGCAAUCGUAAUUGCUUUCAUCGUUAUGGCUCCGAAGGAAGCUCUCGCUAGCCUCGGAGGAGGCGUGGGAGGAAUCGGAGGCAUCCAAGGCGCGGGCAAGAAGUGAAUUUUCGUGCGUCCUGAAUCCAGCCAUGCCAGCUUUGUCACGGUCUAGAUGACCAGCUCGCCUGCAAUAAAAUGCCUGUUGACA